CAGUGAAAUGCGUAGAUAUCUGGAGGAACAUCAGUGGCGAAGGCGACUUCCUGGCUUAAAACUGACGCUGAGGUGCGAAAGCGUGGGUAGCGAACGGGAUUAGAUACCCCGGUAGUCCACGCCGUAAACGAUGGUCAACUAGUUGUUGGUCUUAUUAAAAAGAUUAGUAACGAAGCUAACGCGAUAAGUUGACCGCCUGGGGAGUACGGUCGCAAGAUUAAAACUCAAAGGGAAUUGAACGGGGGCCCGCCACAAGCGGGGGAGCAUGUGGUCUUAAUUCGAUGGCAACGGCGAAAGAACCUUACCAUCCCCUUGACAUGUAGUGAACUUUCUAGAAGAUAGAUUUGGGGCCUUCGGGAAGCACUAACACAGGUGCUGCAUGGGCUGUCGUCAGCUCGUGUCGGGAGAUGUUGGGUUUAAGUCCCGCAACGAAGCGCAACCCUUUAUCUUUAGUUGCUACCAUUUAAGUUGAGAACCUCCUAAAAGAGACUUGCCGGGUUGAUAAACCCGGAAGGAAGGCGGGGAACGACCGUCCAAGUUCAUCAUGGCCCUUAAUGGGAUGGGGCUACAUCACGUGGCUACAAUGGGGGGGUACAAAGAGGCAGCCAACUGGUCAACAGUGCCGCGAAUCUCCAAAAAACCUCUCGUAAGUCCGGAUCGGAGUCUGCAAAUCGUACUCCCGUGAAGUCGGAAAUCGCUUAGAAAUCGUGGAAACAAAAUGCCCCGGGGAAUACGUUCCCCGGCCUUGUACACACCGCCCGUCACACCAUGGGAGUGGAUUGCAAAAGAAGUAGGUAGCCUAACCUUCGGGAGGGCGCUUACCACUUUGUGGUUCAUGACUGGGGUGAAGUCGUAACAAGGUAAC
Molecule: ribosomal RNA, 865 nt
Filed under: uncultured bacterium
Lineage: Bacteria
Description: bacterial SSU rRNA
Rfam family: Bacterial small subunit ribosomal RNA
Source: RNAcentral